RNAcentral lists this ribosomal RNA (481 nucleotides) under uncultured bacterium. RNAcentral describes it as "partial 16S ribosomal RNA". It matches the Rfam family "Bacterial small subunit ribosomal RNA", at positions 28 to 507 of the family's 1533-position model. The record is from RNAcentral.
GAUGAACGCUGGCGGCGUGCUUAACACAUGCAAGUCGAACGAAGCACUUUAUUUGAUUUCCUUCGGGACUGAUUAUUUUGUGACUGAGUGGCGGACGGGUGAGUAACGCGUGGGUAACCUGCCUUGUACAGGGGGAUAACAGUUGGAAAUGGCUGCUAAUACCGCAUAAGCGCCCAGCAUCGCAUGAUGCAGUGUGAAAAACUCCGGUGGUAUAAGAUGGACCCGCGUUGGAUUAGCUAGUUGGUGAGGUAACGGCCCACCAAGGCGACGAUCCAUAGCCGACCUGAGAGGGUGACCGGCCACAUUGGAGCUGAGACACGGCCGAAAAUCCUACGGGAGGCAGCAGUGGGGAAUAUUGCAAAAUGGGGGAAAGCCUGAUGCAGCGACGCCGGGUGAGCGAAGAAGUAUUUCGGUAUGUAAAGCUCUAUCAGCAGGGAAGAUAAUGACGGUACCUGACGAAGAAGCACCGGCUAAAUACGUG